UGGAUACUAUGAUGAAAUCCUAGUUCAGCAGAUGAAUAGUUCAGCUCUGAUGAACAAUCUGAAGUCUUUCACUCCCAUCUGAUGUAUCUG
This 90-nucleotide small nucleolar RNA is filed under the name Peromyscus maniculatus bairdii (prairie deer mouse). RNAcentral's name for it is "Small nucleolar RNA snR60/Z15/Z230/Z193/J17 (ENSPEMG00000028322.1)". It matches the Rfam family "Small nucleolar RNA snR60/Z15/Z230/Z193/J17". Rfam says of the family: The members of this family belong to the C/D class of snoRNAs which contain the C (UGAUGA) and D (CUGA) box motifs. The record is from Rfam by way of RNAcentral. Lineage: Eukaryota; Metazoa; Chordata; Mammalia; Rodentia; Cricetidae.